RNAcentral lists this small RNA (1223 nucleotides) under Drosophila pseudoobscura pseudoobscura. Its description in RNAcentral is "GA30720". The record is from RNAcentral. Lineage: Eukaryota; Metazoa; Arthropoda; Insecta; Diptera; Drosophilidae.
UUGGACGGAUAUUGAAGAGACGGAUGGAUGGAUUAGUACAUUUGUAUAAAUGGGAAUUUCUAGACGCGACCGACGACCGACGAAUGCGAUACGCGCUCGGUUCGAAGCUAACGACAACUGCCUGCCGCGGACAAAACUUGCUACAGACAGAGCAGGGAGAGCCGCCAGCGAAAGCUUACGCUAAAGCUUUGAUAAGCUUUGAUACCGUGUAGAAUGUACGGAAUGGAUAGGGCAUCACGAAUUUAUAAUCAUGUUUGUCACGCACACAAACACGAAUGCAUAGAGCUAUGCAUUAGAAAAGUUCUUUGAAAUUACUUUUAAUGAAUCUGUUGGAUAUAUGAAUACUCGUACUUUUGUGAACCGCUGGCAAAGCUGGGUAUGACGAAUAUAUGAAUAUUGGAACAAUCAUUUGAAAACGCCGUUCAUUGCACAUUGGAUACGCGGUAGAGACUAAAACUUUUGAAAUAAACGGGAAAGAAAGGCUAUUUUUGAGCAAACUAAAACGGAGCUGGGGGCUGGGGUCUGCACUGCACCGCACCGCAUGGAUCGUAUGGGAUCGGUUGAUGGGUAUAUAUUUAUAGCAUAAACGGAACGCCUGCAGGGAACGAUUGCAUUGCAAAUUCUUGAUAUGUUCAACGUGGGACAGCAGCAGGGCGAUAGCAAGGCAAUGAACUCAUACUAUAUACAUACGUACAUACAUAAAUAUAUGGACAUAUGUAUGUUCUGCAUUGGAAAUACUGUAUUGUGCGCGUGCACGCACUUUUGUGUGCCACUGUCCGUGGUGGGGGGAGGGAGUAGUGCUGCGUGAAAAGAGAGGAGUGCGUGCUCGGUGCAUGAUUUUGUGUGUGUUCAUGUGUGUGUGGAAGAAAUAUCUGCGAAGAAAACUACAUACGGGAUAUACGCAUAGAGAUCAAAGAUCAUAGAGAUCUCAUCAGCUCAAUAUUAAAACGUGCAUGUUGGUUAAUAUAGAUUUUAUUUUUAAUAAUUACUACCAUUAGUAGUCACUGAUUACUGGGCGUUUUACAAUAUGUUAAUAUCAAAUUAGUAAAAGGAACUUAACGAAUGCAAUUCAAUUCUAAAAAUUUUCAUACAUACGAGUACAUACAAUCUACGGGUUAUUGUUGGUGCCUUUUUAUUAGGAACUACAAUUACUAUAUUUAAGUGGUAUAUAAACUCAAAAAAUAAGGCUUUUGGAUGCAUUUUUAGCAGAACAACAACACAUA